This 76-nucleotide transfer RNA is filed under the name Alphaproteobacteria bacterium. RNAcentral describes it as "tRNA-Glu". It matches the Rfam family "tRNA". From Rfam's summary of the family: Transfer RNA (tRNA) molecules are approximately 80 nucleotides in length. Their secondary structure includes four short double-helical elements and three loops (D, anti-codon, and T loops). The record is from RNAcentral. Lineage: Bacteria; Pseudomonadati; Pseudomonadota; Alphaproteobacteria.
GUCCCCAUCGUCUAGAGGCCUAGGACACCGCCCUUUCACGGCGGCAACAGGGGUUCGAAUCCCCUUGGGGAUGCCA